RNAcentral lists this ribosomal RNA (481 nucleotides) under uncultured bacterium. RNAcentral's name for it is "bacterial SSU rRNA". It matches the Rfam family "Bacterial small subunit ribosomal RNA", at positions 32 to 507 of the family's 1533-position model. The record is from RNAcentral.
AACGCUGGCGGCAGGCUUAACACAUGCAAGUCGAGCGGAGCGAAGGUGCUUGCACCUUAGCUUAGCGGCGGACGGGUGAGUAAUGCUUAGGAAUCUGCCUAUUAGUGGGGGACAACGUUUCGAAAGGAACGCUAAUACCGCAUACGUCCUACGGGAGAAAGCAGGGGAUCUUCGGACCUUGUGCUAAUAGAUGAGCCUAAGUCGGAUUAGCUAGUUGGUGGGGUAAAGGCCUACCAAGGCGACGAUCUGUAGCGGGUCUGAGAGGAUGAUCCGCCACACUGGGACUGAGACACGGCCCAGACUCCUACGGGAGGCAGCAGUGGGGAAUAUUGGACAAUGGGCGAAAGCCUGAUCCAGCCAUGCCGCGUGUGUGAAGAAGGCCUUUUGGUUGUAAAGCACUGUAAGCGAGGAGGAGGAGCUUCAGGUUAAUACCCUGGAUGCUUGGACGUUACUCGCAGAAUAAGCACCGGCUAACUCUGUG